Molecule: long non-coding RNA, 3715 nt
Filed under: Pavo cristatus (Indian peafowl)
Lineage: Eukaryota; Metazoa; Chordata; Aves; Galliformes; Phasianidae
Description: lncRNA (ENSPSTG00000005618.1)
Source: RNAcentral
GAGGGAAAAGCUGCUGCAAAACUUGCAAGCCGUAGCUUGGAUCCCAUCCUGCUGCUCACAGACAGCUGAUGUGCAGCACUCGGGCGACUGAGAUCCAGAUCCCUCUCUCAUGUUAUGCCGUGUUGAAGCCUCUAGGACAACAUUUUGGCCUGGAUUCAGGAAGCCUGUUAAGGAUUGCAGCCCGGAAAGGUUGGAGGCUGGGAUGGGCGAGAUGGAGCCGGUCUGGGAACAGCCCUCUGGUGAGGUUGCAGGAGGCUGCAGGACCUUCCCAGCAGGACAACGGCCGUGUCUGUCCGGUCCUCCAUCCAGCCCCGCCGUGUCCCGAGGGCUGCAGGAGACAUGAGCUCACUGCUGAGACGUGCCAAACCAAGCCUGCCGGGCGAGGCUGCUCCCAGCUCUACGCUGACAUCUGCCAGAGAUUUCCAGCACUGCUGUCUCAGUGCUUCUCUGCAGAGCACAGCCCCUGAGCAUCCCAACAUCCUGGUCCUCCUGUGGGCCGGAGGUAUCCACAUCUACUUCCCCAUCGUUAUCCCAAUGUCCCCAUCCCCACCUGCAUCCCCAUCCCCACCCACAUCAACAUCCAAACACCUGAACUGGUUGCCAUAGAAACCACAGGUCUGUCUGUCUGCCCGUGCCAGGAGAUGAUGCUCUGCUCCCCCUGGCACAGCUAUUUGUGGUCCACAAGGGAAACAAGGGCAGAUUGGAGGCAUGGAACAUCCCCACAAGGAGGAUGGUGCGUCCUGGGAGUGGAUGGGAAAGCGUAGCUCUGCCAGAAGUUACAGCAUUUGGGACAUCAACGUGAGCAGAGGACGAAAGUUAGGAAUCGUUACAUGGCACGGCAGAAGGCAAAAUGUUCACCUGGGGAACACAAUUAGCUCAGCAGGUCUUUUAGUAUCAUUAAGGGAUUAUUGUCUUGUUAUUACAUGUCCCAUCAUUAAGGGAUUAUUGUCUCAGUGGUUCCUUGACCUCUUGGGCAUGGCUGGAUGGUGCCACAUCAGACCCCAAAGAAGGUGUUGUUAGGGUGGGUGGGGUAAUGAGAGUCGUCCUCUCCUCCAGAGACCACCAGCAGCACUGGGAGGCAUCUUUAGGAUGCAAACCUUCCUGUCCAGCUGGAGAAGUGGAAACUUUUCCUCAUCACCCCUUCUAAAUGAGGCCUUUUUGGCUCUGCUUUAAUGAAAAGUUGAAACUUCAUGCAGCAAGCAAACGCCUCCUCCUAUCUAUCUAUUCUUCUUCCCAUCUGAGUUGUUUCUGCUUAUUUUUCAGCAUACUCGAGGUGUUUCUCUGCCCUAUUCCAGAGCAGGGGAAACUGAGGCACACAGCAGCUCUGAGAUGCUCCCAUGAGACCUUCCCUGUGCUGAGAUUCCCACAAAGAGAAAUCAAGCUAAAUCAUCAGGGAUGUGACCAAUUGAUUUGGUGUUCAAGGCCAAAGUUGGAUGGGGGGCCCUAGGAAACCUCAUCUAGUGCUUGAUCUAGCAGUCUGCAACCCAGCCUACAGCAUGGAGGUUGGAAGUGGACAAUCUUUGGGGUCCCUUCCAACACAAGCUGUUCUAUGAUUUCCUGCCCACGUGGUCCUGUGGGCACCCCAGUGACCGUAUAUGGCCAACUCGGCUCUUCACCUCCUAUAAAAGAUGCUGGCUGCUGGUUUCCUUGCUGCCAGCCCUCCUGGAGCUGUGCGUUCUGCAUUUCCCUUUUAGGAAGCAAGAUUCUUGGACAUAGGGCAGUAAAAAGAAAACAUCUCUCAGCUCUUAUUUAUCGCCUCUCCUUAUAACUGACCACUCUCCAAAUAGAGGGACCGAUUGCAGCCCAGGAGUGCAGCACAACGGUGCCAGAGGUGCCUUUGGCCCCUGCUGUCCUGGAUGGAUUUCCAUGCAGAUCUCCCCACCUCACUGCUAUUUAUGGGGUCAGCUCCAGGCAGGCAACCCAGCUGAAGUCCUGGUGCUUACUGCUUGCUAGCCAAGCCAAACAGCGGAGUGAUGCAAUAUUGCACAAACUUUCCAGCCAGGGAAAUUAAUCUUUGCAAUAGGAAAAAAAAAAAAAGCAGUGAGCACAGAAGGCAGCUCAGGGCGUCUGUCUUGGAGGGGAUGUCUGUUCAAUGGGCUCAGCACAUGUUGUUCUGGCUGCUUCCGCUGAACUCUGCUGCUGGCGAGGUCAGCGUUGCUGUGGGUUUGCUCAAGCCCCGGGGCUUCUCCUCGAGCUGCUGGAGCUCAGGGAGCGUUGGGACAUUGCUCUCAGCCACAGGGUUUGGGUGGUGCUGUGUGGAGCCAGGGGUUGGGCUCUGAUCCUCGUGGGUCCCUUCCCAUUUGGGAUAUUCUGUGGUUAUGUGCUUCUAUCAUUUUAUGAUUGUAAGGUAGAGGUGGGAUCUUCAGGUGGAAGAGUCUUUUUUGGACGAUGGUGUGCUGCAGUUUGGGUAUCCAUGUAAACUCUUUUUGCACUGCUCCUCAGUUUAACCUCAGUGCACGUGAUGAGGAUCCGCUCACUUUUCAGCCUGGACCUGCCCUACUCUCACCCCACUUGGUGGGGCAUUGGGUUCCUAGCUCUGGGUGUCUCGAUGGAUGGACAGGUUACUGAAGAGAUGUCCCUCUGCAGGUUGGAUGGAACCCUGGGCAACAUGAUCUGGUGGCUGACAGCCCUGCUUGCAGCAGGAGGUUGGAGCUCAAUGAUCUUCAAGGUCCAUUCCAACCCAACCCAUUCUACAGUUCCCAACCAAACCAUUCUACGACUGUGAUUCCAACGGCUCCUAAUUUUGCAGCUCCGUUCAAGCCCCAUUCUGUCAUCACUCUAACACGAGCUGCCACCUAUCUUUAAACCUUCUUUCACCCUUCUCUGCAUCUUCCCCCAAAUCCUUUACGGGCCAAAAGACCACUCGUGCGUUAUCGGCUCUUUGGAAAACCCCGGGCAGCGCACGUGGCUGCCGGCUGACGCUUCACUGCCUCUCUGAUCCCUUACGUAACCAGUGACUCUGUUUGUUUUUCCUUGCUGACUUUAUUUGUGUGUGACUCCCGCCUUCGCUGCUCUUAAAGCCGCUUAUAGUCACUCUAAAGCCCCAGCUUAGCCAGGCACCGCUCUGGGUCCUGAGCGACUUGCUGAGCCGCCUCCUUCGUUCCCUUGCAUGAAGGUUUCUUUCCCUCUUGCUGGUUCCAGGUUCAACAUUUUUAUGGCUUCUCCCCUGCACAGCAGUUCUGAUUUGGGACCUGCUGCUCACGAGAUGGCCCAAAGCCUCUUGAGUGGGUUGGCCAACGUCUUGCUUAUCUCCUAGUGGGGUGACUGACUUAUUACGUGGUCUGACAGUGAUAGGACAAAGGGAAAUGGCCUUAAGCUAAAAGAGGGGAGAUUUAGAUGAGGCGUUAUGAAGAAAUUCUUUACUCAGAGGGCGGUNAGGAUGGAGAAAUGGAGGUUGGCAAUGGAGAGGGGAAGGCUGGGGAUGGAGAAGGCAAGGAUGGGGAUGGAGAAGAGGAGACUGAGGAUGGAGGAAUGGAGGACAGGGAUGGAGAAGAGGAGGAUAGAAUGGAGAAUAGAUGGUGGGUGUGGAUAAGAAGAGGCUGGGGAUGGAGGCUGGGUCACCUUUAGCCCUCAGCUGUUGGCUACAUCUCCCACAGCUCAUCACCCAAAUCUGCAAGCCACGUCAGCCCAUGCCUCAGAAGUCCUGCCCUCCAGCACCUCAAGGGAUGAUCUUCACCAGCAGACACCCAGGAGCAUUUUCCCAGCCUUACUCCUA